UUCUGAGUUCAAACCCCGCAGACGCAACCAGGGCAUCCUUACAGUUGGAUUUUCACAUAGGUAGUCCACAUGGCCUCUCCAAGUGCUGUCUCAAGAUUGCGUGCAAUGUUGUGAAUCAGAUGGGGAACGUCUUGGGUCUUUCCAGGCCAAAACGCUGGCACCUUGGCCCCAUCAAUAUGCAAACACAGCAGUUUCUCAAGUCUGUUCCUUGUUUGGUUUGACAUCUUCUCGAACUUCAUGAGUAGCAUUGUGGACACCUGUUGCACCCAAUCCUUGUAGGUUUUUAGCAGGCAGGCUUGGUUCACAGAUCAGUCCCUCCUGAUCCUUUUUGUUGCUCUUCCCUAAACUCCCUUCCACUUGUAUGGCACUUACACACUGUCCCAUGCCUUUGGCACCCUGCCCUUCAGGCUCUAUGAAAUGGAACUGGUUUGAGGAUGGAAACUGACAGUUCUCCUUGUACCAUGUGGGUCAUUGUGUUUAGUCUCCCCAUGGGCAUGCAGGAUGUUGCAACUGUUCACCUAGAAGCAGAGUCUGUCAAGGGAAUCCUGGAGGGGGAGAGCUAUUUUGCACCAGAUUAAGAUGAGGGAGGCGGCGGCAGGGGCAGUGUAGGCCAGUGGGUGGAGAACCCUGCCUGCUGGACCACAGAUAAUCCCCCAGGGAAGGGUGACAUAGUGAGGGAUAUUGUGUUUGGGCUGUUGCCUUGUUUUGUGUGAUCUCUACUCUCCGGGGCUUUACAUGAUUAAAUAAAGAAGAGCAUAAAAGUUGGAAGAGUAUCAAAGCAUGUGUGUUUGCUGACUGCUUCACAGCUGGCGCAUUCCUGAGCGAGAGUUCAGCUGUAAACCAGAAGCUUCCCACCUCUUGAGUGGCGUUCUGGGGGAUGGGGUUCAGGGGAGAGGGUCUGAAGGGUCAGCGUUGCACCCAGGGGGGCUAGGUGGCUGGACAGCAGGUUCCAACACUGAGGGAUGUCCGAUAGGUCUGUGUUCUGAGAGAGCACCCAGGGACCCCAAGAUCGGGGCAGUGGCUGGACUCGGUGCUCGCUCGGAUCUGUGACAGAGAGUCGCUGCUUAAACCAGAGAGCUUGCCGGGCAGUGUUUUUGCAAUGCAAUCAGGAUGUGAGAACGCUGUAGCAGAGUUUCAACAGACCCUGCGGUUGCAGUUCUGCUCUGGAUUGUCUGAUAAAUAACACAUGGGGCAAAGUUUACAUUUAACCUGGCGUAGCAUGGAGACGAAAAAUACAGAAAUAAAUCUUGGAAGUGCUUCUCCAAAGCUGAAAAAAUGCUCUAAACCUGCCCCAUCUAGAACAGAAACUGCGGCGUUUGGUGCUUGGGACUUGGCAAAGUGGAGGUUUGGGGGUGGGGGGGCGGAGAUUGCUGCAUGUGACAGCUGACCUGGGAAGCGAUCCAGGUUGGCGGCUCUGCGGGCUCCUGGCUCAGUCCGCUGAAGCGAUAGCACUCAGGCCGUACAGAGGUGGAAGAGGAGGAGAAGAACUGCUUUGGAAAUGUUGCCUAGUAAGACCAUCGGAAUCCAGGGAAAGAUGAAGAGAUGGCAGAGGAGCAAGGAGAACACACGCAUCAAGAAACUUGCCGACAUUGGAAUGAAAGAACUGAGUGUGUGACAUACCUGCCAUGCAGGGCUGAAUACAGAUCCCACUGAAGAGUGCUGGUUCCGUUUUCUAUCAGCGUUGGCAGGAAGGAGACCUCUUCUAGAAGCAGGAGCUUUACUGGCUUCCGAUGGACCUUCUUGAUGUGUUGGGCUCUCUCUGAAAUCAAGUCAGACCGUACGGUGCAAGUUGGCUGAAUUCAGCUGUGUGCAUUGGGAAGCCACCUGAGCAAGCAUGACCUGCCAUUGAGACCACAAGCAAAGGAAUCCACCAUGGUGUGACCUUAAGCAAGACCCUGGCAAGAGGCAGAGCUGCUGAACUGGCAAGAGUUGGCUGGAGCUGGAACCCUGGGUUUUGAGGGGACGCGGGUACCAGAAGAUCAGACUGUUGGUGAGAAUUAAAAAGCCCUGGCAUUAGAGCUCUGGGGCUCCUUCUGGCUAAAGCCUGGAGCUGAAGUGCCAAGCGAUAAGGACAGCAAGAGGACUGUGAAGUAGAGCCCUGGAACAAUGUGCGCAAAGCUGGCCUGAUGUGAGAUUGCAUCUGAAGUCUGAUGGGGGGGUGCUAUGAAACCAGUGGGCCAGAUUCUGGCCUGGGUUACACCAGAGUACAUAUGGAGUAAUGACAACGGUUUUGUCCAGAGGAAUAUCAACGGAAUACCUGGUGGGCAUUAGAUGGUUGUAGUUAUAAACCUUCACAAAAGGUUUGAUCUUGGACCUCUUCGCUAUCUUCUUUUUGCCCAUUGCAGCAGUUACCUUCCGUGGGUA
Long non-coding RNA from Trachemys scripta elegans, 2364 nucleotides. RefSeq lists it as uncharacterized. The transcript has 2 exons. NCBI's taxonomy places the organism in Eukaryota, Metazoa, Chordata, Testudines, Emydidae. The record is from RefSeq and is a predicted model, not a curated record.